CGAAAGCGUAUAUUAAUGUUGUUGCAGUUAAAAAGCUCGUAGUUGAAUUUCUGUCGCUUGCAGCUGAUACGUUUAUUAAAAUGUUAUUCAGAUCGCUGCGACAUUUAUCUGUUUUUAUGUUUUCUUAACUGAAAACAUAGAAUAGAUCUUUUACUUUGAAUAAAUUAGAGUGUUCCAGGCAAGUCAUUGCUAUGAAUACUUCAACAUGGAAUAAUAAUAUAGGCUGUUGGUCCUAUUUUUGUUGGUUUCAAGGGCUAAAGCAAUGAUUAAUAGGGAUAGUUGGGGGCAUUCGUAUUUAACAGUCAGAGGUGAAAUUCUUAGAUUUGUUAAAGACGAACGACUGCGAAAGCAUUUGCCAAGGACAUUUUCAUUAA
Molecule: ribosomal RNA, 374 nt
Filed under: uncultured eukaryote
Lineage: Eukaryota
Description: partial 18S ribosomal RNA
Rfam family: Eukaryotic small subunit ribosomal RNA
Source: RNAcentral